UGCACUAAUAGCUUAAAGUAAAAGCACCA
RNAcentral lists this transfer RNA (29 nucleotides) under Epiplatys duboisi. RNAcentral describes it as "partial tRNA-Thr". The record is from RNAcentral. Lineage: Eukaryota; Metazoa; Chordata; Actinopteri; Cyprinodontiformes; Nothobranchiidae.